GACAGGUUGUAGCUGGCUUCAAACGAAGCAUGUGCACGCCUGGCUCAUCCACUCUUCAACCUCUGUGCACUUAUUGUAGAUCGGUGUAAAGGUUAGUUGUAACAGACUAACUGUAAAGCCUUUCUACGUUUUACUACAAACGCUUCAGUUAUAGAAUGUUAAUUACUGCGUAUAACGCAUCUUUAUACAACUUUCAGCAACGGAUCUCUUGGCUCUCGCAUCGAUGAAGAACGCAGCGAAAUGCGAUAAGUAAUGUGAAUUGCAGAAUUCAGUGAAUCAUCGAAUCUUUGAACGCACCUUGCGCUCCCUGGUAUUCCGGGGAGCAUGCCUGUUUGAGUGUCAUGGAAUUCUCAACCCUCAAUACUUUUUUGUAUUGAAGGCUUGGACUUGGAGGCUUUUGUGCUGGCUGCUCGUUCAGUCGGCUCCUCUGAAAUGCAUUAGCGUGAAUACUAUGGAUCGCUUCAGUGUGAUAAUUAUCUGCGCUGUGGUCGUGAAGUAUAUUACGUUUACGCUUCUAAUCGUCCUUCACUGGACAAUUAUAAACCCUGACUUCCGACCUCAAAUCAGGUAGGACUACCCGCUGAACUUAAGCAUAUCAAUAAGCGGAGGAA
RNAcentral lists this ribosomal RNA (611 nucleotides) under Oudemansiella sp. HJF019. RNAcentral describes it as "eukaryotic LSU rRNA". The stretch from base 189 to 342 matches the Rfam family "5.8S ribosomal RNA". The record is from RNAcentral. Lineage: Eukaryota; Fungi; Basidiomycota; Agaricomycetes; Agaricales; Physalacriaceae.